UCUGGCCUGCCMAUGAAUGUUUAGUUGAAUGGCCGCGGUAUCUUGACCGUGCAAAGGUAGCAUAAUCAUUAGUUUUUUAAUUGAAAGCUGGUAUGAAGGGUUUUAUGAAAAAAUUUCUGUCUCUGGGAAAGUUUAUUAGAAUUUUAUUUUUAAGUGAAAAAGCUUAAAUAUUUAUAGAAGACGAGAAGACCCUAUAGAGUUUUAUAUUUAAACUAAAAACAUUAUUUUAGGUUUUAAAAAUUAAUUUUUAGCUUAAAUAUUUUAUUGGGGUGAUAAGAAAAUUUAUUAAACUUUUCUUAAUUUUAAACAUUUAUUUAUGAGCAAAUGAUCCUAAAAUUUAGAUUAAAAGAUUAAAUUACCUUAGGGAUAACAGCGUGAUUUUUCUUAGAGUUCUUAUCAAAAGAAGGGAUUGCGACCUCGAUGUUGGAUUAAAAUAAAUUAUUGGUGUAGAAGCUAAUAAAUUAAGUCUGUUCGACUUUUAAAAUUUUACAUGAUCUGAGUUUAAACCGGUGUGAGCCAGGUCG
Molecule: ribosomal RNA, 524 nt
Filed under: Trigonopterus montivagus
Lineage: Eukaryota; Metazoa; Arthropoda; Insecta; Coleoptera; Curculionidae
Description: partial large subunit ribosomal RNA
Source: RNAcentral